AUUUUUAGCUGUGUAUACAGGACUUGUGCAGGUACUCUGUACUCAUUCUGCCCUGGCUUCAGACCAGGAGUUUGUGAGCUUAGUGUGAUCGAUCAUGAUAGCAGGACAUGGUUAUUAAGCCUGCUAGUCUCUGGGUCAGCUCAGAAAGCAAUCAGAGUAAGCUCACACCUCUCUAGAGCUGUCUUUUUUGGUCCUAAGUGACUGCCUGUCCAGGGAGGUGACUAUGUGUCAAGCCAGGACACAGAGGCUGUGAAACACUAGCUGCUCCAAAAUAUCCAUGUAGGCGGCAUACACAGAUCACCAAGACCAAAGGCAAGCUACAUGUUCCAGCAGAAGAGUGGACGGUGCAUUCCCAUCUUAUUCAGAGUGUAAUGACUAUGGCACUUCUGGGCUUACUUACAAUGGAGACAGGACUACUUUGGAGGCCCAAAAGUGACAAAAAUGACUCUAAUGAUCCUUUGGCAAGAUGCUGCGAAUUCACAGGAGGUGGAAUUUGGAGCCAUAAGGCAGCCAAGGGAGGCUUCUUUCCAAGCUGAGCCAGCUGCUAGCGCAGAGAGGAAGGUGAAGGAGUGAAUAUGAGCUCUUGUAUCUGAUUAUAAGUUCUUCUCUCCUGGCUGAUCUGCAAGAGCUGAGCUGCUGGAAAACCUAAAGAGAAGUGAGAUAAGCCAAGCAGAGGUGAAAUUUACAGGUUGCAUAACCCAGCUCUAGAUAUUUCUAGACUCUCUGAAUUCAUAUACUCCAUUUUCUGCAUCGGUGCUGAGACAGAUAUACGAAAAGAUUUUUUCCUUCCAAUUUUCUUUGGUCAUAGAAGAACUCAGAGCAUAUUUAUUGGUUAUGUAAAGAGUAGCAAAACAGAAUAAGUAAUGACACAGACAGGAAGCCUUGGUUAUUUCUUACAGCUUUACAUUUUUUAUUUACUGAGGACAUGUAGAAGUAAUCAGAUAAUUGAGCAUUUGAUCACAUCUUCUGUCCUGAAUAAAGCUUUGCUUCUACAAGCACAGAAUAGUUUAAGACUCUGCAUGUCUCACUUGUGGAUGAUAAUUAGAUCUUUAAGCAUUUAAUUGGACUUGCACAUAAUUACAGGUAGUAAAGAAAGCGUUUGAAAAAUGAAUUUCCAUUUCCAAAUAAGUUUGCCAGAUGGUUUUAUUUUCAUAUUUAAAAUAAGUGUACACUGUCUGGGCAAAUGUCUCGUCUUUUUCCUGAGAAGUAGAACUAGACGUGAAAGGGUAGUACCUUCUAAUUUCUUUAGUCUAUAGUCAUUUGCUCAGGCUAUCAAUGAUGGAUCCAGUUAACAAUAGAUGUGCAGGUGUAUUUUAUCUAUGUCCCACUCAAAUAUCCUUUUUACAUGGAAAGACCAAUGACUGGUUCAUUUAAUAUAGUAACAAGUAACUGUUCAAUAUAGUCAUUAUUAUCAUAGAAAAUUGUAACUUUUGAUCAACAGCAACAAAUCUAUAACUCCUCUUGAGCUGGCAAUCUGCAGGGAACAAUUUUCAUUCCAUUAUCAACUGCAGUAGUAGUAUUGUGUUAUUAAGUACUUUUGUUCAGUAUUUUGUUUUGGCUGAAUAUAAUAAUAAAACGUAUGUGUAAGAAGUCAGAGCCAUUUUUAUCCUCGAUUUUGUUGUGUGUGAUGUCCAUACUGCAGAUGAUAUACUUCAACAGAAAAGCCUCUAAGGAGUCAGGAUCACAAGACGUGUAUUGUUAUUGAUGUGCAUUGCAUAGGUUUAUAGAUAACACAGUUUCAAAUACAGCAUUGUAUAUUUUUGGCCAUGACAAUCUGUGUUAAGUUUUAGAGAAAGCUGUGUGAAGGAAAACCUCAUAGUGUUGUGCAGAUAUGUUUAAAGUUUAAAAAAUAUAUUUUUAAGAAAGUUUUAUUUUGGCAAACUCUGAAAUAACAGUUCCCCAAACACAGAUUUCAGAAAACAUGGUGUUUGGUAAACACCCUCAUUCCAUUAUAGAAACACUACUGUACAUGGUUGGUAUGCAAAAGGAAACUGAAACAGAAAAAGAAAGACAAAUUUUGAAAUUAUGUACAAUUUUGCUUAUGAAUACUGAGUGAUUAAUUAUUCUUAAACCACUUAUUCAAUCAGCUUUUUCUUUUAAAUUUUGUUUGAUUUUCAAGUUUAUAUAAACUGGUAGAACUGUAACAUCAUCACAUCUUACAUGCAGAAAAGAUCAUUUUCAUUUCCUCGGAAUUAUCUAGGUUUCCAUGUAUUUGGCAAAUUUCAUGUGUUACAGUGGCUCUUGUAAUAGAACAAACAGAUUAUCAAGCUUUCUUUGUGGUACAGAAGAGAUCACGUGCUUUCCGUGAUACGUGAACGUGAAAAAGGACAGUCUUAGUCCACCUUAUGUCAUUUUGGGUUUGAUUUUUCUUUUUUUUUGGACAACAUGUAUUUUUUGUAAAUGUUUAUAAUUUUUAAUAAAUUUUUCAGUACAUACUGAAAAUAUUUAUUUACAACUUUCUCUUUUUAGUUUAAAAUUGUGAUGUGACAUUGAAAAUCUGGGGAGUUCUCUUCAGAAAUUCUACAGAUACACUCAGCUAAUGAAACUUUAGUGAAACUAUGUUAGAGGUUAGCCUUGAUCCCUCCAGAUAACCAUUAAAAAAAAGGCAAAGGUUGCCCAACUGAAAUUUCACUCUACAUGUGGGAUGAUCUGACUAUGAUCUAUUCUGUUUCAGUCUAGAGCUGGAAGUCAUUUUAGCAAGCAAGUAUAAAAAAACUUAGUAAUCACUUCGACAAAGAGUCUUCUGGUUUAGUUCUCUGGCAUGGUAGCCAUUUUUUUUCCUUUCUUUUUGUUUUCUUUCUUAUCCUCUCUAUAUGAAGGAAUAGAUUAAUUCACAAAUUCUUAUUUUCUUUGUCACUGGGCUGUGCUGCUGCCUAUCACAAUUUGAGGGGUUGUUCAGCUUGUCAGUUCAGUCAAUUUCUCCAAGUUUCCUUCAGUCAUUUCCUUUGUCUUCUUUGAAGAAUCAUUCUAUUUCAGGUCAUUUAAAAUUGAGUGGUGCCAGGAAACUGAAAUAGGUUUAACAGUAAUCUUGUUCCUUUUUGUAUCAUUCUCCUGCACAAGACAGUAAGCUUCAGAUUUUCAACACAGAUGUUUAUUCAAUACUUAUCUUUUCAUUUUCUGGCUAAGAGUCUUGAAAGGAGGCAUCUGAGACAUUGUGAGACUUCUCAGUCAUGGGCUUGUAACUCGAUUUCUUUGCAGAAAGAACAGUCUAUAAGAUUUAGAGGCUUUCAAAAAAACAGAAUUCAUACAUUGGGUUGGUUUGACCAUCUCUGAACCCUGAAUGCAAAUCUGCAUGACUUUCACUACCAAUUCCACUGCAUUUGCUAUAUCUAAUACUUUGAGACAGUUAUUACAUUUCAAUCCUCCAAAUAUUGCCACAAGAUAGGCAUAUGUCCUAUAUUAUAUCCUCCAGGAUGUUUCCAAGUGUUUAACAAUCAGAUAAUUGUUUUUGCUCUUAUCAAAACGACAGUUUCACCUUGUUUCUCCAAUCUACUAAAAAGUCUGAAAUGUUCUAUAUUUAGUAGCUAUCACACAUUAGUGGCUUCAGUGGUCUUCUGUGAUUUUGGUGGUUUUGGCAACAAAAUUUUUCACAGGGAAAAGAUCUGAUUUUCACAAAUAUGAGAAGAUGGGAAAUAGGAGGAGGGAUAGAGGGAACAAAUCAGUGUUAAUCCUAAUCUGUGAUCUCAUGCAUAAGAAUUUGCCGUACCUUUUCAGUUGCUGCCAAUUCCAGUUUUCUGCCAAUUCCAGUUUUCUGCCAAACGUCAAUUUUCACACAGAGUGUGAAACACUUUCCAUUUCCAAACUUAUAACAGAUCUGCUGGACUUGAACUCACUCCAGUAAGUUGCAGUUAAUUUAAAUACAUCACAAGCAAAAUGAAAGGAAAGAUUUCACUUAAGCAGAGUAAAGGAAAUGAGUACUGCCCUUUUGGUCAGAUCAGACUUGUUAUAGAUGAGGCUGAUCCUCGUAAAAAUCAUUUAACAAAUGCUCUAGUUCAAUAGUAUGAAGAUAAAUGACAAAAUGCUUAUCGUUCAUUUUACUGGUAAACUAGAGACUAAACACAACACUUUGUACAAGAUAUUCUAAUAAG
Long non-coding RNA from Gallus gallus (chicken), 4088 nucleotides. The record is from Ensembl. Lineage: Eukaryota; Metazoa; Chordata; Aves; Galliformes; Phasianidae.